Molecule: long non-coding RNA, 551 nt
Filed under: Sorghum bicolor (sorghum)
Lineage: Eukaryota; Viridiplantae; Streptophyta; Magnoliopsida; Poales; Poaceae
Description: long non-coding RNA (SBIC_LNC011069)
Source: RNAcentral
AAAAGGUUGAUGCUAACUUGGCUGAAGGCUCUUGGCACAGGAAGGGCGGAGGCCUGUGCCGCCCAGAACAUACCACAAGUCCCUCUAGGGCUGCAAUAGGGCUUAGAUGCUGGCCUAAGAACUUGUAAAAUAGUCAUAGGGAGGAAUUACUCUGAUACCCCUAAGAAUGGUUACCCUGGUGGAGGAAUAUGCUAGCAUAUUCUAUCACCGUCAUGGGGCAUUAUGGUAACAAGCUGUAAUUGGAAUCUAAGCCCUAUAAAAGGGGUUGUAAAUGCUAUCUGAGGAGUUAGUUGAAAGUCUUUAAUUCAUACUCGUUUCCCAACGUCUUCCGUUUCAUCCCACGUAUGGCGAACUAUGUCCUUGAUGUAUCGAGCAAGGAGACCCACUCUUCACUCUAGUGCAGGCCUUUCGUCUGAGCCAGGUUGGAGGGCCUUUAUUGACCCAUUGUCAAUGACGUUCGACAACAAUGGUAUAAGUUGCUCACACAUGUACAUGUGGACUAAUUACCUGUGUAUCUCACAUAAAUAGUAUUAGUCCACCUAAGGUUGUCA